Molecule: small nuclear RNA, 102 nt
Filed under: Brassica oleracea var. oleracea
Lineage: Eukaryota; Viridiplantae; Streptophyta; Magnoliopsida; Brassicales; Brassicaceae
Description: U2 spliceosomal RNA
Rfam family: U2 spliceosomal RNA
About the family: U2 is a small nuclear RNA (snRNA) component of the spliceosome (involved in pre-mRNA splicing). Complementary binding between U2 snRNA (in an area lying towards the 5' end but 3' to hairpin I) and the branchpoint sequence (BPS) of the intron results the bulging out of an unpaired adenosine, on the BPS, which initiates a nucleophilic attack at the intronic 5' splice site, thus starting the first of two transesterification reactions that mediate splicing.
Source: Rfam by way of RNAcentral
AUACCUUUCUUGGCCUUUUGGCUAAGAUCAAGUCUAGUAUCUUUCUCGGUUUUCACGAGUCGCCCAUGCGUUGCACUACUGCACGGGCCUGACCCAUCCCAC